This 252-nucleotide ribosomal RNA is filed under the name uncultured bacterium. RNAcentral's name for it is "partial 16S ribosomal RNA". It matches the Rfam family "Bacterial small subunit ribosomal RNA", at positions 524 to 776 of the family's 1533-position model. The record is from RNAcentral.
UACAGAGGGUGCAAGCGUUAAUCGGAAUUACUGGGCGUAAAGCGUGCGUAGACGGUUGCGUAAGUCAGAUGUGAAAGCCCCGGGCUCAACCUGGGAAUUGCAUUUGAGACUGCGUAGCUAGGGUGCGGAAGAGGGAAGCGGAAUUUCCGGUGUAGCGGUGAAAUGCGUAGAUAUCGGAAGGAACACCAGUGGCGAAAGCGGCUCCUGGUCCAGCACCGACGUUCAGGCACGAAAGCGUGGGGAGCAAACAGG